CCCAGCAGCAGUCAGCUGUCCAGGCAGCAUCAUUGCUGGGAUGGAGUUACACCGCUGGGGGAGGAAUGCCCUGUCUUCUUCCUCCAGGUGCCUCCCUCACUGUUCUGGUGGCCCCUGGCACUGGUGUAAGGCAGAACGGUGCUUUCUUGACAGUGUGCUAAGCAUUCACUUAGGCUGUUCUAGUGUGGGAGCAGACACA
Molecule: small nucleolar RNA, 199 nt
Organism: Pteronotus mesoamericanus
Lineage: Eukaryota; Metazoa; Chordata; Mammalia; Chiroptera; Mormoopidae
Product: small nucleolar RNA SNORA74
Exons: 1
Source: RefSeq, a predicted model, not a curated record